UUUCGCCUACGGGGCGCAGCAGUGGGGAAUAUUGCACAAUGGGCGAAAGCCUGAUGCAGCAACGCCGCGUGAAGGAAGAAGGGUUUCGGCUCGUAAACUUCUAUCAACAGGGACGAAAGAAAUGACGGUACCUGAAUAAGAAGCCCCGGCUAACUACGUGCCAGCAGCCGCGGUAAUACGUAGGGGGCAAGCGUUAUACGGAAUUACUGGGGGGAAAGGGUGAGUAGGCGGCAUGGUA
Molecule: ribosomal RNA, 238 nt
Filed under: uncultured bacterium
Lineage: Bacteria
Description: partial 16S ribosomal RNA
Rfam family: Bacterial small subunit ribosomal RNA
Source: RNAcentral